RNAcentral lists this unclassified non-coding RNA (336 nucleotides) under soil metagenome. RNAcentral's name for it is "partial contains 5.8S ribosomal RNA, internal transcribed spacer 2, and large subunit ribosomal RNA". The stretch from base 1 to 120 matches the Rfam family "5.8S ribosomal RNA", at positions 35 to 154 of the family's 154-position model. The record is from RNAcentral.
GAUGAAGAACGUAGCGAAAUGCGAUAAGUAAUGUGAAUUGCAGAAUUCAGUGAAUCAUCGAAUCUUUGAACGCACAUUGCGCCCGCCAGUAUUCUGGCGGGCAUGCCUGUUCGAGCGUCAUUUCAACCAUCAAGCCCCCGGCUUGUGUUGGGGACCUGCGGCUGCCGCAGGCCCUGAAAAGCAGUGGCGGGCUCGCUGUCACACCGAGCGUAGUAGCAUACAUCUCGCUCUGGGCGUGCUGCGGGUUACGGCCGUUAAACCACCAUCAUAACCCAAGGUUGACCUCGGAUCAGGUAGGAAGACCCGCUGAACUUAAGCAUAUCAAUAAGCGGAGGA